GUAGUUAUAGUUUAACAAAAACAUUAGAUUGUGAAUCUAACAAUAGAGGCUUACAACCUCUUACCUACC
Molecule: transfer RNA, 69 nt
Filed under: Alouatta seniculus (howler monkey)
Lineage: Eukaryota; Metazoa; Chordata; Mammalia; Primates; Atelidae
Also listed under: 3 other names
Description: tRNA-His
Rfam family: tRNA
About the family: Transfer RNA (tRNA) molecules are approximately 80 nucleotides in length.
Source: RNAcentral